UAAGAACUUUUAGGCUAGCAAGAAGUUUAAAAAGAAACCUUCCAUUCUGCUACCUUUAACCUUUAACCUCCCCCCCUGAAUAAAACUCUACACGGACAAAAUGGGUGACCCUAAUCAUAUCAAGAAAGGGAAAGAAAGAAAGAACACCGAAUCUCUGACUUUGUAAAGCCUGCAAGAGACAUUCUAAGCUACAAAAUUAAUCACUACUUCAGCAUCUCGACUAGAAAUGGUACUGGAUUGCUGUUACUUAAUAUGCUGGCAAGAUAGAGCAAGGUUCAAUUGCAGGUGUUACAGCAGAAUACAAUCAGGAAGAUAUUCAUGCUUCUGUUAAGGUCGAUGUUGACUCAAAAUUACCAAUUUCACAACCUUACAUUGAGCAUCGCCGACCAUGAAGGAUACAUUUUCACUGAUAUUGCCAGAUCAUAGCUCUAAAAGGUGCAGCUUCUAGUUCCGUAUAAAGUAGAAUACUUCUACAAAAAUGCUGCUUUAUCUACGAGACUUCCUUCAACCAGCCGCCAUAUAAUUCAGCUUUCUGCAACUUUUGGUGCUCCACACCUUGCAUUUGGUAUGGAGACGCCAUACAAUCUUGCUUCAAAGAGAUUUCACGAAUUUAACGCAGGCAUUAGAGUGACAAAACCAAAUUUUGAUGGAUCAAUUACUUUGACAAACAAGGGUAUCUUACUAUGGGCAUCAUAUGCUCAUUAUUUUGAUCAUGAGAAAGUUGCAGAAGCAGCAGUGGUCUCUCGGAUGCUUUCAGAAAAGGAGAAUGUUCUUGUAGUUGGAGGAACAUGGAUUAUGGAUGAUAAAACGACAGUUAAGGCAAGGUUUGACAGUCGUGGGAAGCUGGUUACUCUCCUGCAUCAUAAAAUCAAACCCAAGACAUGCAUUAAAAUUUCUAGUGAAUUUGACCCCAAAGCCCUUGACAGGAUUCCCAUAAUCAGAUAUGGUCUCUCUCUCUCGAAAUCUGAAAGGUUUCCAUUUUCAGUUGUGUGGUCCAGCUGAUGGAAUUCUGAUCGUUCAAUACCUUCUGCUGGUGCUUUGAAAGAAAGGCAAACAAAUACACUGCUUUUACCAUGUCCAUAACAUAUAUAGUUACUGGUAAGGAGGCUUGAACUAGACUUUCCUUUGUCUUCUGUUAGAAAUCCAACAGCUGAAAAGUUCCUAUGACCAUUUACCUAAACCCUGAUUCACUUGAGCAGUUAGUCUGCCUUGUGCACUACAAAAGUACACUUUUUUCAAGCAAUCAUAUUUUUGGUUGUCUUAGAUUGUCUUGUGCCUCUUAAUGUGAGUCAUUGUUUUGACCA
Long non-coding RNA from Populus trichocarpa (black cottonwood), 1304 nucleotides. RefSeq lists it as uncharacterized. Lineage: Eukaryota; Viridiplantae; Streptophyta; Magnoliopsida; Malpighiales; Salicaceae. The transcript is spliced from 6 exons. The record is from RefSeq and is a predicted model, not a curated record.